This 365-nucleotide long non-coding RNA is filed under the name Vulpes vulpes (red fox). RNAcentral describes it as "lncRNA (ENSVVUG00000002905.1)". The record is from RNAcentral. Lineage: Eukaryota; Metazoa; Chordata; Mammalia; Carnivora; Canidae.
CACCUGUUCUAAGCAGUAGCUUUGUCACUGCUUAUAAUUUUUUAACCUCUUUUCCUCCACAGAGAGGCUUCAGACCAACAUAGAAGACUAGAGAGAUGUUAAUAAUCAUCGAAACUAAAGAUGAGGCCUCCGACUUAUUGCUGUAGCUGAAAGAGCUGCUUUGGGAGAGAAUGAUGACUUUUGCCGGAGAUGAAAUGUAACGUUCCAGUCUCCAAUGAAAAGGAAAGAUGUGGUGUGGUACCCACCAGACACAGCAGCCUGAGAAUGCAUCUGAAGAUACUACUCCUUCCACUUGGGCCGUCUGGAUAGGCCUUCACAGCUUACCUAGAACUUUAUCUUCAGGGGCGUAUUUGCAUCAUCACUGA